GAAAUGCGAUAAGUAAUGUGAAUUGCAGAAUUCAGUGAAUCAUCGAAUCUUUGAACGCACAUUGCGCCCCCUGGUAUUCCGGGGGGCAUGCCUGUUCGAGCGUCAUUUCACCACUCAAGCCUCGCUUGGUAUUGGGCGACGCGGUCCGCCGCGCGCCUCAAAUCGACCGGCUGGGUCUUUCGUCCCCUCAGCGUUGUGGAAACUAUUCGCUAAAGGGUGCCGCUGGAGGCCACGCCGUAAAACAACCCCAUUUCUAAGGUUGACCUCGGAUCAGGUAGGGAUACCCGCUGAACUUAAGC
RNAcentral lists this unclassified non-coding RNA (299 nucleotides) under plant metagenome. Its description in RNAcentral is "partial contains 5.8S ribosomal RNA, internal transcribed spacer 2, and large subunit ribosomal RNA". The stretch from base 1 to 105 matches the Rfam family "5.8S ribosomal RNA", at positions 50 to 154 of the family's 154-position model. The record is from RNAcentral.